UAACGCACGUUGUUUGCUGCAGC
This 23-nucleotide microRNA is filed under the name Callorhinchus milii (elephant shark). Its description in RNAcentral is "eshark_NOVEL_232". The record is from RNAcentral. Lineage: Eukaryota; Metazoa; Chordata; Chondrichthyes; Chimaeriformes; Callorhinchidae.